This 66-nucleotide transfer RNA is filed under the name Mucilaginibacter gotjawali. Its description in RNAcentral is "tRNA-Tyr". RNAcentral also lists the same sequence under 1 other name. The record is from RNAcentral. Lineage: Bacteria; Pseudomonadati; Bacteroidota; Sphingobacteriia; Sphingobacteriales; Sphingobacteriaceae.
CGCUAAGCAUGUAGAAAGCUUACCUUAUACCAUGUUUGGACGAGGGUUCGAAUCCCUCCGGCUCCA